This 26-nucleotide transfer RNA is filed under the name Anthriscus cerefolium (chervil). Its description in RNAcentral is "partial tRNA-Ser". The record is from RNAcentral. Lineage: Eukaryota; Viridiplantae; Streptophyta; Magnoliopsida; Apiales; Apiaceae. RNAcentral also lists the same sequence under 16 other names.
GGAGAGAUGGCUGAGUGGACUAAAGC